This is a long non-coding RNA of Stegostoma tigrinum, 550 nucleotides long. RefSeq lists it as uncharacterized. The record is from RefSeq and is a predicted model, not a curated record. The transcript has 3 exons. NCBI's taxonomy places the organism in Eukaryota, Metazoa, Chordata, Chondrichthyes, Orectolobiformes, Stegostomatidae.
AACCGGUCUCACACCAUUACCAUCACCUUGCCCUUGUGAAGGCAGAUAUGGAUAAGGUUCUCAAAGCUGAUAGAAGAUUGAAACCACUCUCAUCCUGUGACGAUGAACCUGCCCCGGAAGAGAGAGCCUAGAGAAUUGCCAAAGCUGUCCGCAAACAGUCAAUAGAAGUGAAGGAAAAUUGGGAACAACUGAAAAUCCGUGCGAGCAACUGGCAGAAACAGGUGGAAAAGGCGUUGGAGAAACUUCAAGAACUGCUGAAAGCUCUGGAUGAUCUUGAGGCUCAUGUGAUAACAGCUGAGGGGGUCCACACUGAUUGGCAACCUGUGGGUGACCUGCUUAUUGACUCAUUGCAGGAUCACAUUGAUAAAACCACAGGUAAGGACUAUCUUCAAAAUCUGAGAUUGGGUUUUGAAAGACAGCAGCCUUUGUUUUGGAGAGAUGAUGGGAACUGCAGAUGCUGGAGAAUGCGAGAUAACAACGUGUGGAGCUGGAUGAAGACAGCAGGCCAAUCAGCAUCUUAGGAGCACAAAAGCUGACGUUUCGGGCCGAG